This is a long non-coding RNA of Triticum dicoccoides, 2059 nucleotides long. RefSeq lists it as uncharacterized. The transcript is spliced from 9 exons. Lineage: Eukaryota; Viridiplantae; Streptophyta; Magnoliopsida; Poales; Poaceae. The record is from RefSeq and is a predicted model, not a curated record.
GCAACUGGCAAAGACAGAGUUAUUGUUUCUGCCGGUGCUGCUGGCCUUCUGUGGACUACUUGGAAAACAAGAAAUAAAUCUUGUUUCCAAGGUGUAUUCCAUGGAGAUCCUACUUAUGUUAUUUUUUCUUUGUGCUCUCUGCUGGAUUUGUGGCCAGUCCUGUAGAAAAGAGGGGUGCAGGUGCGAAACAUGCUGCGUCAGGUGUCUAGGAAGCUUAACCAAGUAACACGCGAAAUGUUCAGUCAUGAGUGAGAUUUCAAAAUCGUUUUGAAAGUAAUGUUUUGCAUAUAUGCAGGUCAAGUGAGAGCUGAAUAUCUCCUACAUUUGCAUAAGAUAUUACAGAGCACCACUGCACCAGAACUGAUAUUAGGUGCAACUGAAUAUACUGCUGACAUGGACUUGUUCUGUUUUUUUUACGGCAGACUGAAUAUCUGCUAUGUCACGGCAGAACUGCUUCUCGGGCAGGUUUUAUUCAUGCAUAUAGUCUUUCAUUUUGCUCUCUAGCUUGUUCUCAAAAUAUUUAUCCAUUCACGCAUCCUCUUUUUUCCUAGGGAAAGUGGAGUUGAUCAGUUGGUUGAGCUUAUCAAGUGCGUCGCAGGUCUCGGGAUACUCCAACAAGGGAAGAGAUCAAGUGCAUAAAUCCAAACUACACGAAGUUCGAGUUCUCCCGAAUUAAGACUCGUCCGUGGCACAAUCAUGAGCGCGCAUCUGGCCUGGAACUUGAACUUCGUGUAAUGCGCCUGGUAGCUGACCUCUCCCGACAGUGCCACCUCGAACAACCCCGUCGCGUUCUCCUAUCAGAAAAUGAACACGGAUGGAACUGAAGAGAUGGAACUGAAGAGUAAUCAAAGGGAACGAUAACUGAAGAUUGAGGGAUGAAAGACAAACAUAACUGGCAAGUUUUUUCCUUUUUCGGUUUGUCAUCUUCAUAAACGAUGUGUUUGAAUUGUCUGGCAAGUUCCCAUGAUAUUCCAGACUGUUUUUUGUCAUCUCUUCCCCUCCCCCGUGUUUGUGCCUCAAGUGAGAUCGGUUCUAAUGCUCCAAGUAGUUCAACUGGCAAUGCUCUAAGAAAGAAUGCUGUCAUGAUGUAAGGAGACAGAUAAUCCAACUGAGGAUCAUGGAGUUCUGAUGCUUAAACCUACUGAAGAUUACCAUAUUCUGUGCAAUUUGAUAUGCCGAGCAUUUGCCUAUAUAAUAUUUGUGUUGGCAUUUGCUUAUACGCAGCCUCCUUUUCCUGGGAAAGUGGAGUUGAUCAACCGGUUGUGAUUAUCAAGUGCCUUGCAGGUCUUGGGAUACUCCUACAAGGCAAGAGAUCAAGUGCAUGAGUCCAAACUACACAGAGUUCAAGUUCCCGUGAAUUAAGGCUCAUCCAUGGCGCAAGAUAUGCCAAGCAUUUGCUUCGAUACAUAAUUGUGCUGGCGUUUGCUUAUAUAUUUUUCCUGGGGAAAGUGGAGUUGAUCAGCCGGUUAGGAUUAUCAAGGUCUUGGGGUACUCCAACAAGGGAAAGGAUCAAGUGCAUGAAUCCAAACUACACGGAGUUCAAGUUCCCGCAAAUUAAGGCUCGUGGCACAAGGUAUAUAGCACAUAAUAUAACAGUGGCAAGAAAAUCUGAAGAACUAAUGGCUGGAUGACAAGAAUGACAAGUGAAAUGAGACACCGAUAACUACUCAAAAUAUCAGUGUCAUUCAACCUAUGGGCCACCCUGCACAGGCGUGAUCCAGGCAGUAAUUUGGGAUCAAUGAAGAGCGAGAAGGCUGAGGAAAAAAAAGACUAGAAAAUGAAGAAUAAUAAGAAUACUGAGAAGACGAAGGAAGAAAGUGAAAUCUGAACAAAAGACUGGGGACUAAACAGUUACCAACUUCAUGCACAUAUGCUAACUCCAUUUUAUCAAGAAUUCUUGUAGAGCACGGUAAGUUUUUUGAACUAAAAGGUUUAAAAACUGAUCCUAAAACUGAGAAAAAUAAAUAAAGCACGGCAAGAAUUCUUGUAGAGCACGGCAAAAAUGAAGGUCUGGAGAUUAGUAGAGAGCUAAAUCUCAUGACUGAACACUGAGAAGACU